CUUAAAGGUUCUGGGUUGAGAGAUUGAUGAUUGGUUGGUGGCAUUGAUAUGACCAGUUGACUUUGCUUCUUCAGCUUCUUGAACUGGGGAGCAUUAGUGAAAAUGUACUUUUAAAGGGAUCUGGACUCUUACUUGGGACAAACCAAAUGGACGUUUUACACUAUUUUAGGCCCCAAUUUAGGUGGACAGUUUCUCAAAUAUCAUUAUGAAGAUGGGAAUGGUACUUAUCUUUGGCAGGCUAAUUGGCAUCUUGGUCCUCUGUUGCUUAAAUAUGUACCUCGGAUCAGCAAUGAUAGUACUGUGAAUGGAAAGGUCUCAUCAGCUCACAAUGGAGGAAACUAAAGUUGGCAGCCAGCAGGGUUUGCGGCUUUGGUUCAUAUUCAGGGCAAGUGUUUUGAGGCAAACCUUGAUCAAAAUGUGGCAGAAAAUGUCAAUUUAGAACUACAAAAUCAGGAGAAUUUGAAUGUGGGGGACAUCAUGGAAUGCUAUUAGGUUUUUUCCACCCAAAGUUUUAGCUGUUCUAGCUUACCAACUAUUCUAACUAAUAGACUUUGUUCCAUUUCUUCAAUACAAAAGACAUAAUGUGCUAAAGUUCUUGCCCCACUGUUGGCCCUUUUUGAGAUUCAUUGCCAUUGCCAUUGCAAAUUCACGAACAGCAUGACACAUCCUCUACCCUCUUCCAACGAGUUUCCAAAAGGUGAAAGACAUGGUGAUCUGGAGAGCAUAUGGCAUUGGCGUGACUCUGAAUAUGACCUUCGGCAAUUAUCACUCUUAAUCCCAUCGUAGCAGUUCAUCUCAACCCCAUAACCAAUGCCAUGGCAAGAGCUUCAGUCUUAGAGUUUGUUGCUCUUUCCUUGGUACUUGAAGUCUUCUCCGAUGCAAAUUUUCCAUGGUUGGUAAUGAGUUAGUACAAGGUCAGCAUAACAGAUGUUUGCACUCAUUGGGAAUGUUCAGUUUCCAUAGGACUCUUCACCCAAAUAACUCGGUGCUCAGAAGAGGAUAAAUUUUCUACAGGCACAGCCAAUGUAUUUAUUUACUCUUUAUCUCUUGUAUCAAAGAGUUGUUCUAAAAGUGAGACCAUUCCACCAACGAGUAUCAUGGUCCAAAUAAAUCUCGAACCACCACAAUUUGUUCGGCACUAUGCAAGAGAGAGGAUGAGAAAUUUGUCAUGGAGAGACUGGAUAGGGCUUAUGCAAGUGUAGAUUGGGUUAAUGCAUAUCCAAACUAUUCUCUCUGGAACCUCCCUAUUGUUAGAUCAGACCAUGGCCCUAUUAUCCUUGAUUUUGAUCUAAAGCAAUCCUUUGGAAGAAGGCCUUUCAGGUUUGAGCACAUGUGGAUGACUCACCCUUCGUGUUUAGAUGUAGUCCAGCAGGCUUGGAGCAUCCAUACUGUUGGGUCUAGAGCUUUUCAGUUGAAAAACAAGCUUUCCAAUGUGAGGAGAGACUUUAUUAAGUGGAAUAAGGAGGUCUUUGGAAAGCUGGAACAGGAGAUUCAGCUUAAACAGACACAAUUGCAAGAGAUUCAAAAUUCUAUCUUCACGGUUGAAGAUGUUAGAAAAGAGAAAAUGGUUAGAGAGGAUCUUGAAACUCUGAUGCAUGGGGAAGAAGUAAUGUGGGCAUAAAAGGCUAGACACAAUCGGGUGAUUUAUGGGGACAGAAACACGAGGUACUUCCAAACAGUUGUGAAAUAGAGAAAAGCAAGGAAUUGUAUUUUUCUGCUCAAGUCUGAGGUUGGUGAUCUGAUUACUAAGCAGAAAGGAAUUGAAGAAGUAAUGUUUCUCCACUUUAAACAAAACUUUGAAGGAACCACUGAGAUCACUAUUGAUCAGAUCCUGGAAGAAAUCCGAACCUUACCUAUCCCUCAGAUUAAUGCUCAACAGAACAUGUUUCUGAACAAACUUGCCACAACAAAAGAGAUUGAAACCACCAUCUUCCAACUUGGACCAUACAAAGCCCCUGGACCAGAUAGGAUUCCAGCUUUCUUCUAUCAGCAGUAUUGGGACAUUGUGAAGCAUGAUAUCUACAAUACAGUCCUAGCCUUCUUCCAUUCAGGUUAUAGCUUUUGGGAUAUGGAUUUGGCUGGGUUUAGAGAAAGAGAGGCUGAGAUGCAGUGGUUGGGAUUUGGGUAGAGAGAGGGGCUGAGAUCGGCGGUUGUUUGGAUUUGGGUUUAGAGAGAGAGGGGCUAGGAGCAGUGGUGAUUUGGAGCAGAUCAAGGCGAAGGAAUCUCCUUCUUCGGCUUCUCCCUACACCAACAACGAGCAUAAUAUCAAGGGGUAAACUUCAACGACAAGUGGGUCUUGAUUUGAAGAAAACGAUGAUUGGGAUCAAGGUGGUAGAAACUGCUCAGUUCAGGCAGAUCUAUCGAAGCAGAGAAGUUGGUCAAUCAUAUUUAACAUCUGUUUGGACAACCUUGAUUGCAAUGGCUCAUGCACUCUAGCUAAUGACUAAAAUUAGACCCCCAAGUGUGCUGGUAUCUGGGAUUAGAUGGUCAUCAGGUUUCUUUGUUGAGAGUAUAGCAAGAGUGAGAAGGCUCUCAUUAAGUGGCUUACUUCUUUACAAGUUAUGAAUAGCUGAUGAGUUCUUUGUGCAAUGGCCACACCUUCAAAUGUAAUAUUCAUGAGCUCACUAUGUUGGCUGUCUCAUGUAGUUGAAUGAAUUCAGCCUUCGACAUUGGCACUUUCACUUCAACCUCCUAGUUUUUGUAAAGCAGUCAACAUUUUCAUAGUGUCACUAUAGUAUUACCUAUGUUUUAUUACCCCCACUAAAACUAUGUU
This is an RNA transcript of Quercus lobata, 2773 nucleotides long. It is a transcript of the gene named UDP-N-acetylglucosamine transferase subunit ALG14-like, with no coding region annotated. Lineage: Eukaryota; Viridiplantae; Streptophyta; Magnoliopsida; Fagales; Fagaceae. The record is from RefSeq and is a predicted model, not a curated record. The transcript is spliced from 5 exons.